Molecule: ribosomal RNA, 499 nt
Filed under: uncultured bacterium
Lineage: Bacteria
Description: partial 16S ribosomal RNA
Rfam family: Bacterial small subunit ribosomal RNA
Source: RNAcentral
GACGAACGCUGGCGGCGUGCCUAAUACAUGCGAGUCGAGCGGACCGAACAGGAGCUUGCUCUUGUUCGGUUAGCGGCGGACGGGUGAGUAACACGUGGGUAACCUGCCCGUAAGACCGGGAUAACUCCGGGAAACCGGAGCUAAUACCGGAUAACACCGAAGACCGCAUGGUCUUUGGUUGAAAGGCGGCUUCGGCUGCCACUUACGGAUGGGCCCGCGGCGCAUUAGCUAGUUGGUGAGGUAACGGCUCACCAAGGCGACGAUGCGUAGCCGGCCUGAGAGGGUGACCGGCCACACUGGGACUGAGACACGGCCCAGACUCCUACGGGAGGCAGCAGUAGGGAAUCUUCCGCAAUGGACGAAAGUCUGACGGAGCGACGCCGCGUGAGCGAAGAAGGUCUUCGGAUCGUAAAGCUCUGUUGUUAGGGAAGAAGAAGCGUCGUUCGAACAGGGCGGCGCGGUGACGGUACCUAACGAGAAAGCCCCGGCUAACUACGUG